Long non-coding RNA from Cynara cardunculus var. scolymus (artichoke), 593 nucleotides. RefSeq lists it as uncharacterized. The record is from RefSeq and is a predicted model, not a curated record. Lineage: Eukaryota; Viridiplantae; Streptophyta; Magnoliopsida; Asterales; Asteraceae. The transcript has 2 exons.
AAUUGUGUCUAUUUUCGUAUACUCAGCUGAGAGAGGAAAUCGUGCUUCCUGAUGGAAAUCUGCUGAGGAGGUGUGCUUAUUGUCUGUUAUUUUGUUCUUAAGAUCAUGCUUUCGGUAGGCAUAGACAUCAGUUGCAUCUUCCUUGAACCGUUGCAUAGUUUCUGGUCUCCACCCCUGUUUUUUAGCCAUACCCAGGACCAGGAUCCGAUAAGAGACCUUCUAGCGAAAGAACAACAUCACAGAGCCACAGAUUGGCGUACACAAGAGGAGCCACUGAGGAUCAAACAACAUCCAUUCUUUGAAGGUGUUCAUUCAGCAUUUAUAUGGUAAUCAAGCCUACCAGAAACCCCGAGACCCAUUGCAAUUGCAGGUCUUCAUGGCUAAUGCUCUUGUGAUUGCACCAAAAGUUAAAGUAUAUCAUGCCAACUAUAAUGGCUUGAGAAUGCUAUUCGCCCUGUGUUCUUUGAAGAACUUGUGCAAAAUCUGUUCUGUACUGCAAAAGCUUCAACUUCUUUGCUUUUGGUAUGCAUAUUAAUGACCAAAUUCGUCAUGUUUUCAUUGAAACUUUAAAUUUCCUUUUUCCUGUAUCAUGA